This 407-nucleotide ribosomal RNA is filed under the name uncultured bacterium. Its description in RNAcentral is "partial 16S ribosomal RNA". It matches the Rfam family "Bacterial small subunit ribosomal RNA", at positions 28 to 526 of the family's 1533-position model. The record is from RNAcentral.
GACGAACGCUGGCGGCGUGCCUAAUACAUGCAAGUAGAACGCAGUUGCGAACGGGUGAGUAACGCGUAGGUAACUGCCCCAUAGCGGGGGAUAACUAUUGGAAACGAUAGCUAAUACCGCAUUCUGUGAGAUGGACCUGCGCUGUAUUAGCUAGUUGGUGAGGUAAAGGCUAACCAAGGCGACGAUACAUAGCCGGCCUGAGAGGGUGAGAGGCCAAGCUGGAACUGAGGCGAGGGCCAGACUCCUGCGGGAGGCGGCAGUAGGGAAUCUUCGGCAAUGGACAGAAGUCUGGCCGAACAACGCCGCGGGAGUGAAGAAGUUUUUCGGAUCGUAAAGCUCUAUUGUUAGAGAAGCGGUAACUAGCCAGAGAGGGGCGGCUAACUACGUGCCAGCAGCCGCGGUAAUUC